RNAcentral lists this ribosomal RNA (531 nucleotides) under Triticum aestivum (bread wheat). RNAcentral describes it as "partial small subunit ribosomal RNA". The record is from RNAcentral. Lineage: Eukaryota; Viridiplantae; Streptophyta; Magnoliopsida; Poales; Poaceae.
AUGGCCCUCUUUGAGGAGUUCUAUGUGGGUUCCAUCGACCUCCAUCGCCUUAACUAUGGGAUCAUCACUUUAAGUCCCAAGGUGCUUGGCGCCUCGGACAUUUGCCAGUUCCGUCCUAUCAUGGUGAUCAAUGUGAUCUUCCGCAUUCUCGCAAAGGGGUACGCCAAUAGGGUGGCCCCUUUGUCUGACCGCAUCACCCACCCGGGUCGAUCCGCCUUCAUACAGGGCCGGUAUAUCUUGGAUGGGGUCCUUGUCUUUCACGAAGUCCUGCACGAGGUCCGGUCCAAAAACCUCAAAGCAGUCUUCCUGAAAAUUGACUUCCACAAGGCCUACGACACGGUUAGCUGGUCCUUCCUUCGGGAAGUGUUGCUCAGGAAAGGGUUUGAUGAUCGAUGGGUCACCCGGGUCAUGCAGAUGAUGACUUCUGGGUGCACCGUGAUGAACAUUAAUGGGGAGAUCGGGCCCUAUUUCCCCACCUUAUGUGGGGUUAGGAAGGGGGACCCUGUGGGGACCCCAACUCAUAAGUCGUGA